This 253-nucleotide ribosomal RNA is filed under the name uncultured bacterium. RNAcentral's name for it is "partial 16S ribosomal RNA". It matches the Rfam family "Bacterial small subunit ribosomal RNA", at positions 524 to 776 of the family's 1533-position model. The record is from RNAcentral.
UACAGAGGUCUCAAGCGUUGUUCGGAUUCAUUGGGCGUAAAGGGUGCGUAGGCGGCGCGGUAAGUCGGGUGUGAAAUCUCGGAGCUUAACUCCGAAACUGCAUUCGAUACUGCGGUGCUUGAGGACUGGAGAGGAGACUGGAAUUCAUGGUGUAGCAGUGAAAUGCGUAGAGAUCAUGAGGAAGACCAGUGGCGAAGGCGGGUCUCUGGACAGCUCCUGACACUGAGACACGAAGGCCAGGGGAGCAAACGGG